Molecule: ribosomal RNA, 284 nt
Filed under: uncultured diatom
Lineage: Eukaryota; Bacillariophyta
Description: partial 18S ribosomal RNA
Rfam family: Eukaryotic small subunit ribosomal RNA
Source: RNAcentral
CGUAUAUUAACGUUGUUGCAGUUAAAAAGCUCGUAGUUGGAUUUGUGGUUCGUUGCAUGGUCCCAGCCAAUUGUUGGGUGCCGUUGCGAGGAGCAUCCUUGGGUGGAAUCUGUGUGGCAUUAGGUUGUCGCGCAGGGGAUGCCCAUCGUUUACUGUGAAAAAAUUAGAGUGUUCAAAGCAGGCUUAUGCCGUUGAAUAUAUUAGCAUGGAAUAAUGAGAUAGGACCUUGGUACUAUUUUGUUGGUUUGCGCACCGAGGUAAUGAUUAAUAGGGACAGUUGGGGG